CUUCUUCUGGAUUGCCAUGCUUCCCACGUCCGCAUUCUUCUCCGAAUCUCCCAUCUUCUUCCGCUAGAUCUCAGCUAGGAUGAGCCUUCUGAACUCCCAGAUCUCCUAUCAUCUCGUUCGGAACAGAGUCCCAUCGCCCAGCUCGCUCCCAACCGUUCUGUAAGUUCCUCCCAUGCUAGUCUUCCCCUGUUCCGAGUUCAUCCUUAUUCCCAAGCUUCCCAGCCAUCAGCCGAAUCCAAACUCCCCUUAUCCACGGAUUCAUCCCA
This 266-nucleotide long non-coding RNA is filed under the name Phoenix dactylifera (date palm). RNAcentral describes it as "long non-coding RNA (PDAC_LNC008457)". Lineage: Eukaryota; Viridiplantae; Streptophyta; Magnoliopsida; Arecales; Arecaceae. The record is from RNAcentral.